GAUAUCGAAUGGCCAAGACUCGAGGAGAUUAUGCCAGACGUGGUGAUUGAUGAUGAAGAUAAGAACACAAAUUUCAUAUUGAAUUGUUUCAGAGAAGAAGUAACGAGCAAUAAUGUAGGGAAUAGUUAUUCAUGUAUCGAGGAAGGUAAUAAAAAGAUAUCAAGCGACGAUGAAAAAAUCAAAUUAUUAAUGGAUUGGCAAGAUAAUGAUGAGUUAGUAUGGCCAACGUUACCAUGGGAAUUAGAAACGGAUAUAGUUCCCAGUUGGCCACAAUGGGACGAUACUGACACUAACUUACUUCAAAAUUGCACCAAUGAUAAUAAUAAUUAUGAAGAAGCAACAACAAUGGAAAUUAAUAACCAAAAUCAUAGUACCAUUGUAUCUUGGCUUUUGUCUUAGAAAUAUAAUAAUAUGACAUUAUAUAUUGCUUUUGAAUAUAUUACUCAACUCUUUUUGUUUCGUUUUAUAUUUGGAAUGUGGGAAUUAGAAUGACUAGUUUAUGUACAUAUUUUAAGUUUCG
This 520-nucleotide unclassified non-coding RNA is filed under the name Hevea brasiliensis (rubber tree). The record is from RNAcentral. Lineage: Eukaryota; Viridiplantae; Streptophyta; Magnoliopsida; Malpighiales; Euphorbiaceae.